CGCUCUCUCCUUUGGAUGACUGAUGAGAAUCUCAAGCCCCACAUGUCCAAGACGGAAAUCUGCCAAAGGUGGUGGAAUCAGCCUUGACGUAAAUCCCAUUAACCCAAUUUCAGAAUACGCCCCCGAUCAGCACUUCUCACCAGCACCCCCUGAUCGAAGUCACUGUCUCUCGCCUGGACUCUUGCAAUAGCCUCUUAGCCGGUCUCCAGGGUCCCAUCCUCGCCCCGGCUUCCCUGGCCCCCACUGCCUUGUCUCCACACAGCAGCAGAGCCAUCCUAUUAGGACAAAUAGAACAGGUCGGUUUCUGAUCAAAGCUCAUCGAUUUCUCUCCAUCUGAAGUGCUGACCAGCCUGCAAGGCCAUCCACGGCCUGCCCCCACCCCCACCUCUCCAGCUUAUCUGCACUUCUCUCUCCUCCACUUCCCAGGCGAGCAUGCUCCUCCCCCAGGGCCUUUGCACAUGCUGUCUGAGGCUCUCUUUCCUGGGCUUGCUCCCCACUCCUUCUGGAUCUCCACUUUCACGCCACAUCCCAUCAGUGACAUCUUUCAUCAGAGCCCUCGUCCUUCCUGCUCGUUCUGCGUAGCCUGUCACCACCUGACAUCACUAGUGAUUUGUGUGUCUUCAUUUACACGCUGCGUGUUUAUUCAUGUCACUCUAUUUUCAGCCAACUCAGAGGGAGACCUUGUGUGUCUGUGCCCUGCUCUGAGCCGGGUGGGGCUGGAGACCCGCACUCCCCACUGUCCGUCCUGCAGAAGGAGACAGCUCGACGCCAGCAAGGCGCUCGCGAGAGACCAAGACAACACUUGUUGCUGCCCCGUAUCAGGGAGGAACGUGAGCUGACAGUCAUUAUCUUAUAUAACUGGGUGCCCUAGAAUUUUCAGAACAAUCACACUUUCCUUAACGGAAAAUAGAGCAAAGGCAGAGCUCCACGGAGCAGCCGCGGGUCACAUGCUGCCCGGCUGUGGGGGGCCGGCCGGCUCACGGUUCAGAUGCUCACACGCAGGUCGUAGGACCAGUCAUUGCAGGACUACAGGUCACAGGUAUGAAAAGGUGCUCGUCGACGGUCAACAGGACCCCUCAGCAGACUGAACCCGUGUCGACGAAGCGAAAAGCAGCCCCGAGGACGGCGCUGGCCUGAGACCAGGCUCCCCAGCGCGGGCGGAGUCUGCUCCUGGGCAGGGAACUGGCCGUGGCCCGCGGUGCGGUGCAGGUUCGAGUCUUCGGAAGAUUCCUGCGGUGGGUUAACCUUUGAUCACAGUUUCCACGCUUAGCGCCAGGGUAACUGUGGAGCCUCCUCAUCUCCAGACAGGACAGCGGUGCGUCCUCCUCGCUUCCUGACAGGAUGACUGUGAGGCCUCCUCACCUCCUGGAAGGAUGACCGUGUGGCCUCCUCACCUCCUGAGAAGACGACUGUGCGGCCUCCUCACCUCCUGGCAGGAUGACCGUGUGGCUUCCUCACCUCCUGACAAGACAACUGUGUGGCUUCCUCACCUCCUGGAAGGACGACCGUGUGGCCUCCUCACCUCCUGACAAGACAACUGUGUGGCUUCCUCACCUCCUGGAAGGACGACUGUGUGGCUUCCUCACCUCCUGACGAGACAACUGUGUGGCUUUCUCCCCUCCUGGCAGGAUGACCGUGUGGCCUCCUCACCUCCUGACAAGACAACUGUGUGGCUUUCUCACCUCCUGACAGUGUGACCGUGUGGCCUCCUCACCUCUUGACAAGAUGACUGUGCAGCCUCCUCACCUCCUGAUAGAGUGGCUGUGUGGCCUCCUCACCUCCUGACAAGACAACUGCGUGGCUUCCUCACCUCCUGACAAGAUGACUAUGCAGCCUCUUCACCUCCUGACAGGGUGGCUGUGUGGUGUCCUCACCUCCUGACAGGACAACUGGAGCCUCCUCACCUCCUGACAGUGUGACGGUGUGGCCUCCUCACCUCCUGACAAGAUGACUAUGCAGCCUCCUCACCUCCUGACAGGGUGACUGUGCAGCCUCCUCACCUCCUUACAGUGCAACUAUGGGGCUUCCUCACCUCCUGACAACUGUGCGGCUUCCUCGCCUCCUUUCAGGGUGACUAUGGGGCUUCCUCUUCCCCAUAAGUCAUGGGGAAUGAAUUCUCCCAGCCUUGCCUAGCAUGCACUAAUCAAGCAGCUCACUUCUUCCUAGGAAUCUUUCACUUGGAGGAAAAACCAGGAAGAAAAAAAGACGAAAUGGGAAGUACUUGUGAUGACUGUCCGUGGCCAAGCCCACGUCUAGGAAAACUCACUUCUUUCCUCACUCUCCCGCAUCACUUCUGGCAGCACAUGUCCGGGUUUUCCCGCACGAUCAAUUCUCCAGCACCUGCAGGGUGUCCUAGGAUUCGGUUCAGUUCUGACACUAUCCAGUGCAGUUGGCGUCAGAUCCCACAGGAUAAGGCUCAGCCCCACAGGACUGCCCCCACUUCAGACGCGAGUUGCAAGUCCCAGGUUGUCACCUGUGCUCCUGAUCAGCUACAAGACAGGGGGCUCAUGACCCCUCCUUGGGUUCAAUAGUUUGCUGGAUCGUCUCAGAACUCAGGGAAUUGACAUGUUUAUUGGUUUAUUACACAGUAAAGGAUGUGAUAAAGGUCUGAAGACGUGAUUAGGUCCAGAAGGGUCAGAACACAGGAGUUUCUGUCCCCUUGGUCUUGAGGGCACCACCCUCCCAGCAGGUGGAUGCGUUCCCCAGCCCGGAACCCUCCAGGCCCUGCACUGUCGGGGUUUUCGGGAGGCUUCAUCACAAAGGCAUGAUCAGUCAUUAACUCCACUUCCAGCCCCUCCCCCUCCCUGGGGAACAGGAGGUGAGGCUGCAAGUUCCAGCUGCUAAUCGAGGUGUGGUCUUUCUGGAGGCCAGUCCCUAUCCUGAAGCUCCAGGACCCACCAAGAGUCACUUCGUCAGAACAAAAGAUGCUCCUAUCGCCCAGGAUGUUACAAGGAGCUCUGGGUCGGGAACCGGGGUCAAGGUCCAAACAUUAGGACAGCAGAUGCUCCCGGCACCUUAUCACUCAGGAAAUUACAGAGGUUUAGGCGUCGUGGUCAGGAGCGGGGCAAAGACCGGAAUCCAUAUUUCUUAUUACAGACAGUCCCCGACUUAGGAUGGUCCGGCCUACGGUUUUCCGACCUUACGAUGAAGUGAAAGUGACACGCAUUCAGCAGACUGCUGGGUUUUGAAUCUUGAUCUUUUCCCCGGCUGGUGAUACGCAGUGAGUACAGCUCCCAGUCAGCCGGCGAUCAUGAGGGGGGACAACCGACACUCUUACAGCCACUUGGUUUUUCACUUUCAGUCCAGUGCUCCGUGAGGUACCUGACACAUUCAUUACAUCACAGAAAACAGGCUCCGUGCUGGGUGACUCUGCCCAAGUGCAGGUGUCUGAGCAUGUGAAGGAAGCUGCGCUGAGCUACGGCGUUCGGUAGCUGAGGGGCAUUGCGUGCGUUUCCAACUCAUCUUUUCAACUCACGAUGGGACGUAACCCCAUCGUAAGCCGAGGAGGUUCUGUGCCUCAUAUCACACCUCCUUUCCUCUUUAGUGGCAGUUCUCCUGACCUUUAGGUGGGCACACGGUCACCUGAAUUAUUGACAUAUUUCCCAGCCUCCCUUGCAGUCGGUGUAAGUGGGUGAUGAAGUUGGGGUGACGGAGCAGUCAGAUGUGAGGGCUGGAGCUCCAGCAGUCAUUUUGGAAGGGAGAAUGGAAGCCACGAGCAGCGGGAUGAAGCAUUCCUGGUCGCUGGUGCCACCCCCUCCCCCUGCAAACAUCAUGCGAGCUCCUAGGGCCAACCUCCGUGCUUCCUCUACGUAAAAGAAGACGCGCUCCGCCUUGUUUUAGCCACCAUUAUGCUGGUUUCUGUUGAUGCAGCUGAACCUAAUCAUAGAGAAUAACAAACAACACCACCACAUCUGUAACUGUUACAAGGCCGCCUCUGCUGCAGCAUCGCCCAGCCUGCGUCAGCAUCCUGUCACAUCCUGGUUCUCAUGGAGGCCUUCGGUCCCGUGCAGCUGUCUAAGAACCGCUGAUCACUCUGGCCCUGCUGGCGUGGGAUUCAGGGGGAGCUCCUACAUGUUCCAGGAAACCCCAGCACUGUCUUUGGUUCUGACUCGGUGUCCCCGGCUUUGUCCGCCUCUCACUCACGGCAAGUGUCCUCCCCUGCCUUUCUGACCUCGUUGGUUGUGGCAAAGUCCACUGAGUAGAUGGCUCAACAUCGGGCUGCUCUCCUGCUGGUGUCCGGUCAGCCCUGGGCUGUGCUCACCGGUAAGACCUCCUGGACCAGGGUUCUCUGCCCGCAGACCAAGCCCUCCAGCCACAGCCUGCCGGCUGCUUGUGUCCCUGAGACGUGAGCGGGAACAGAGCUGGUGCGCAGAGGUCUCCAGAGGAGCCUGGAGAGGGACACGUGCAGCUGCUGCCUGCCAGCAGGCCGAUUCUUCAUCUCAGGACAUGUGCCUCCCAGGGGGUGUCAUCGUCCCAGCCUUGGAGAUAGGGGAGGUGGCCUGUCUGAGGUCACGCAGUGGGUGCCUGGCGAGCCUGCCAGUCCCAGGCCUGCUCUCCUGCAGCGGCUCCGUGUGCACGGGCUGUGGACAAGACCGUGGCACAGGUCACGCUGAGCAGUGCUGCAGACUCAUGGACACCACACCCUCUGUGCCCCCCGAGGGAGCGUGUCACCUGCCAGGAGGUCCCAGUUCCACGUGGGGGGCUCAGCCCCAGCCCCAGAGUGGAGCCUGGGCACAGGUGUGAGACCCCUGGCCCAGCUCACGCACCUGUACUCGGUUCCCAAACAGCAGCCACACGGCCACCACCCAGGACCAACGUGUCCUGUAGAGAAGGCAGGUCUGGAAUGUUCCAGAGCACAGCAGCCGGACGUGAAGGAAGAGAAAGUGAGGCUGCUGAGAAGACCCGUGUUCUUGGGCUGACCUCUGCUGGAGUAUGGCCAGGCCGUCUCUCUGGGCCUCCUGAGCCACAGUUAGGCAGCUGGUUUAUGAACCAUGAAGCAGGCUUUACUCAGUGGCCACAUCAGCUUCUGCUGGAAUUCACAAACUGGUGCAUCUUUCACAUCAUCCAACAAAGGGUCACCCGUCUGCUCUCUGCUUCGGAAAGAGGGCAACUGUCAGGUCCCGCCCUGUCUGCAGUGACGUCCAUCUCUGCUUUAACUGUGCUGCCCCUGUGGACGGCAGGGAGGGCUUUGCAUCCGCUGACGGGGCCUCAAUGGGAGGCCGCAUGCCUGCUUCUUAUUGCAAGGAAGAACCAAAACGAUCAGAAGGGCUCCAGCCUCCUCCCCCAGGCCCACCGUGCACCGUGGGGCAGCCUUGUGGGUCAGUCCGAGAGGACAGCCACAGCCCAGGGGUGUCGGCGACUUUCACAGGCUGCACUGCCAUCCCACGGCCUCCCACCCCGAUGUCUCUGGGAUCAUCCUGAGCGUUGUGAGCUACGCCCCUCGUCACAAACACACCCGUGUGCCACACAGGGCUCCCUCCAGAAGUGGCUGUGCAGGGAAACCCUGAGGCCCCCAUCUGCGCUGGCAUUUGCAGAGGUGACCCUGGCAGCCCCCUACUGUGUCCCGGGCAGGUCGGGUCACCUGCCCCCAGCACCAGCCUCUGCCACUUCAGUGGUGCCCACAGACCAGUGUCCCCCCUGCUCAGACAGCCCCAAUGUCUCUGGAAAUGUCACACCACGUGGUACAAGCCGCUUUCCAGCUUCUGGAGCCUCUCGGCCCCCUGUGAGCACAGACACCGAGCAGCUCCAACACCAGGAGGGCGGCGGCUGCCGGCGGGGAGGGACGCCACCGAUGGCGGUCACAGGCUGGAGACUCAGGGUGAUGGGAGAGAAAGGACGUGGUCACCAGCGAGGACCAGCCUCCCAGCGACAGCUGAGAUGGGGCUGUGAUGUGUCGACCUCCUUCAACCUCCACUGUGGAAGUUUCCGGCAGGUUGGAAGGGGGGUGAGAAGCAUGUUGAUUCCCUCCACCCCCCAGCCAGUCUACCCCAAUAGAAGAGCCCUCGAUGGGAAGGAGGGGAGAUGGGGCAAGUGGACAGGCAUGUGGACUCCCCACACAGGACCACGCAGGCCUGGUUCACAUCGUCAUCUGGACGGACGGGCAGCCUCACUGGUCAUGCACAGAAGCUUCCAGGACGGGGAGCGAGCUCUGGAGCCCCAAACCGGUCCAUCUGUUCCUGAGAGCCAGCGACAGCCCGGCAUGCAGGCUCUGGGCAGGAGGAAGGAUUCAGUUUCCGGGGAUGAGAAAGCAUGAACACUGUCACUGUCGCUUCUCACUUAAAAACCCAUAGUUUCAGCCUUAUGCUGUCGCCUCCUGGAUUCUUCGCAUUUCAACACCCCAUCAACCUGUUGAACUGAAUAAUGAGGCAGGUGUGGGAAGGGCUGUGUCUUCUGCAACGGACGGAGGGUUUGGAGUCGCUCCCUGACACAAUUGGGAAAAAGAAAACUAACCGAAUUGUGGAAAGGCCAGCCACUAUCACCGACUGCCUCUCAUCAUGAAGAAAUGCGUUUUCAGAGCAAGCCCACUUGUCACUGAGAAUGACUGACAGCCCACCCCAGAGGAUGCCUCCGGAACAGGGCUCCUGCGGUGCAGGGGGAGGCAUGACAGCGGCGCUCAGCAGUGGCACUGACAGCAGGUCCCCACCUUGUGCACCUGGUCGGGUAGCCUGCUGACGAGAGACAACUGCCACCUGUCCAGACGCAGAGCAGCUUUGAUCCAAGGCUUCAGAACAAAACUAUUUUAUAAGCAGGUUUAACCGUAC
Molecule: long non-coding RNA, 6761 nt
Filed under: Equus caballus (horse)
Lineage: Eukaryota; Metazoa; Chordata; Mammalia; Perissodactyla; Equidae
Description: lncRNA (ENSECAG00000031235.2)
Source: RNAcentral